RNAcentral lists this ribosomal RNA (246 nucleotides) under Staphylococcus aureus. RNAcentral describes it as "partial 16S ribosomal RNA". It matches the Rfam family "Bacterial small subunit ribosomal RNA", at positions 1296 to 1533 of the family's 1533-position model. The record is from RNAcentral. Lineage: Bacteria; Bacillati; Bacillota; Bacilli; Caryophanales; Staphylococcaceae.
GAUUGUAGUCUGCAACUCGACUACAUGAAGCUGGAAUCGCUAGUAAUCGUAGAUCAGCAUGCUACGGUGAAUACGUUCCCGGGUCUUGUACACACCGCCCGUCACACCACGAGAGUUUGUAACACCCGAAGCCGGUGGAGUAACCUUUUAGGAGCUAGCCGUCGAAGGUGGGACAAAUGAUUGGGGUGAAGUCGUAACAAGGUAGCCGUAUCGGAAGGUGCGGCUGGAUCACCUCCUUUCUAAGGA